AUCCAGCCUGGCCUUGAAUGCCACAUUACUUUUACAGCCAACUUACUGUUUUUGUCCUGUUUUAGACAGAGGGAAGCAGUGGCACGAAGACUGUGUAUUAAUGAAUAUAAGAUCAGUUUGCAGCCAUAGGCUACCUUAGAACAAGAACAAGUUUUCAACAUUUUUCCCUUUCCAACGUCAUUACAAUGUUAUCUACAGUCCUCCAAGGUCAGCUGCCUAUUCAAAGUCGUCUUCAGUGCGUUGGCUCAGAAGCAUAUGAACUUUGUCAAGGGUGGAGAGAGAUGGAAAGAAGGAAAGAUUUUGGCAGAAUUGAUUCUUCAAAAUUUCCCCUUGUGCUAAUUAGAGAACAUGAUGGAGAUGGAAUGCCAUGACUGAAUGGUUUUGUUUAGCUCUAAAAAUUCAAUUAAAAUAAAUAUUAAUUUCUAAA
RNAcentral lists this long non-coding RNA (427 nucleotides) under Gallus gallus (chicken). Its description in RNAcentral is "lncRNA (ENSGALG00010003008.1)". The record is from RNAcentral. Lineage: Eukaryota; Metazoa; Chordata; Aves; Galliformes; Phasianidae.